Molecule: ribosomal RNA, 429 nt
Filed under: uncultured Alcaligenes sp.
Lineage: Bacteria; Pseudomonadati; Pseudomonadota; Betaproteobacteria; Burkholderiales; Alcaligenaceae
Description: bacterial SSU rRNA
Rfam family: Bacterial small subunit ribosomal RNA
Source: RNAcentral
CCAUGCAGUCGAACGGCAACACGAGAGAGCUUGCUCUCUUGGUGGCGAGUGGCGGACGGGUGAGUAAUAUAUCGGAACGUGCCUAGUAACGGGGGAUAACUACUCGAAAGAGUGGCUAAUACCGCAUACGCCCUACGGGGGAAAGGGGGGGAUCGCAAGACCUCUCACUAUUAGAGCGGCCGAUAUCGGAUUAGCUAGUUGGUGGGGUAAAGGCUCACCAAGGCAACGAUCCGUAGCUGGUUUGAGAGGACGACCAGCCACACUGGGACUGAGACACGGCCCACACUCCUACGGGAGGCAGCAGUGGGGAAUUUUGGACAAUGGGGGAAACCCUGAUCCAGCCAUCCCGCGUGUAUGAUGAAGGCCUUCGGGUUGUAAAGUACUUUUGGCAAAGAAGAAAAGGUACCUCCUAAUACGAGGUACUGCUGA